This 21-nucleotide microRNA is filed under the name Schistosoma japonicum. RNAcentral's name for it is "miRNA-3034". The record is from RNAcentral. Lineage: Eukaryota; Metazoa; Platyhelminthes; Trematoda; Strigeidida; Schistosomatidae.
AUGACAAUGGAUGAGGUCGCU